Molecule: long non-coding RNA, 715 nt
Organism: Mastomys coucha (southern multimammate mouse)
Lineage: Eukaryota; Metazoa; Chordata; Mammalia; Rodentia; Muridae
Exons: 3
Source: RefSeq, a predicted model, not a curated record
GAGUUUGGAACCUGACAGUCCAGAGUUUAAAUUCCGCUUCCACUCUCCAUCAUGGGUAUGGAGUCCCCAAGACUUGGAUAAUCCUCCCACAAAUCAGGAGCAAUAAUAUCCACUCAGAGACUUUUAUGUGAGCCACAGAGGAUGGUAUAUGCGAAAGUGCUUCAUUAACCAUGAAAGCCGCUAAUAACGGAAUUAUUAUUUAUGAAUUCCAAAUAGCAUGGAGCAGCAUGGGUGGUUGCUGUUCUUAUGUAUCAUCUCUGUAACGGUACAGAAAAAAAAGACAGCAGAGUGAACUUCUAGAGGGACGACUACAUCGCUAUACCGAUGAAAUACAUAACAUCUAUGCAGGAAGGCUGGAUUUAAAGGUCUGUGUCAACAAUCAAGACAAGGGGUUGGAGAGACAGCUCAGCAGUUAAUCACACUCCCUGCUUUUGCAGAGGACCUGAGUUUGGUUACCAGUACCCAUGUCAUGUGGUUCACAACCUCCUACAACUCCAGCUCUAGGAGAGCCAACACCUCUGGCCUCACAAGACUAUGUGCUCCUGGGGAAAACACCAUCCGUUAACUCACUGCUGUACACCAAGGCUUGCCACACAUACCAGGUGCUCAUGAAUUUCUGUGGACACGAAUGAGUGACCGAAUGAAGGUUCAUAUACACGGAAGCCUCAGAAACAAAUGAUUGUUGGCUGCUCAGUGGAUAGAACUCGGGGCAACC